Molecule: non-coding RNA, 516 nt
Organism: Cercocebus atys (sooty mangabey)
Lineage: Eukaryota; Metazoa; Chordata; Mammalia; Primates; Cercopithecidae
Source: the annotation of a RefSeq genome assembly
CACUCAACAACCACAUUCCUCCUCUGGAGAAAACCCUGGAACCGCAUCUCCUUACCAUGGACUGGAGCUGGAGGAUCCUCUUCCUUGUGGCAGCAGCUACAGGUGCCCAGUCUCAGGUCCAGCUGGUGCAAUCCGGGGCUGAGGUGAAGAAGCCUGGGGCCUCAGUGAAGCUCUCCUGCAAGGCUUCUGGUUACACCUUUACCAGCUACAAUAUAAACUGGGUGAGACAGGCCCCUGGACAAGUGCUUGAGUGGAUGGGAUGGAUUAACCCUAGCAAUGGUAAUACAGGCUACGCACAGAAGUUCCAGGGCAGAGUCACCAUGACCAGGGACACGUCCACGAGCACAGCCUACAUGGAGCUGAGCAGCCUGAGAUCUGAGGACACAGCCGUGUAUUACUGUGCAAGAUACACAGUGUGACAACCCACAUCCUGAGAGUGUCAGAAACCCUGAGGGAGAAGGCAGCUGUGCGGGACUGAGGAGACGGGUAUCACUAGUUUUAAGGCUGUUUUGAAUA